Parus major (Great Tit) is the source of this 6300-nucleotide long non-coding RNA. RefSeq lists it as uncharacterized. Lineage: Eukaryota; Metazoa; Chordata; Aves; Passeriformes; Paridae. The record is from RefSeq and is a predicted model, not a curated record. The transcript has 2 exons.
GCGCGGCGCCCGGCCCGGGGAGAAGGGGAUGGAGCCAGCGCCAGCGCGGGAGGUGGGACAGGACGGGAUGUACAGGGCUAGGGCGGGCGGGCAGCGCCGGGCCCCGCUCCCCUGGGACCAGCAGUGAGCGCUCCCCGCCCACCUGCCCGCCCCGCCGCGCCCGGAGUCCCCUCACGCGGAGUUGCAGCCGGGGGACAGGAGGGCACCUCGCUUCUGGCAGCGCGAAACGCCCCCGUCCCAGGCCGAUCUCCUCCUCUUCAGCGCUGAGGGUGCCAAGUAUUUCACACUAAGGGCAGUUUGCGCUCUCUGGUCCACCGAAAGUCUAGAAAAGGGUGUCUCGGUCUCCUCGAGUUAGGGGAAAAAUAAAAAGUAAAUUAACCGAGUUCGUUUUGUGCUCAACGCAGGACCUUCUUCUGAAACAGGAACUGAAAUUUGGCCAGUCAGCAUCGAGCUGCUGGUGAAAAUCUUGGUCACAUCAGCAUUUGCCGCCUUUUCGUCUCCUUAAGAAAAAAAAGUUAUGAGAAGUAUUUUUUAGGGCAAGUCUUCCAGAUUCAGGAGGGAAUAUUUUGUCACAUGUUUGUAAAGCAGCCAGGUCCACACAGUCUCUGGGCAGAUUCUGGCACUGUACUCGUAAGGAGCAGUAAGUAGUUCACUGGUGAAGACAGCAAAUACUAUUCUUCCUGAAAAGAAUAUUCAAGAAAUUCAAACUGAGCAGCAUAGAGUCAUUUUUGUCACAUUGCAUAAGCUAUGUGGUACUUGAGAUACACAUCUGUCGCUAGGGGCAUUUUUAGGUGCAAACAUGGUGACUGCCAGGGCAGCUAGUGGAAGUCACAGUUGCAUUAAUUUAGGUAGAAAUAUCAGUCAUCUCUUGUGCAACGAUGUCAAAGGAGCUUGUGCCCUGCACCCUCACAGUCACAGUGUCUGUCCUGGUAGCAGGUUGCACUACAGGCUUGGGAAGGCCAGGGACCCAGGAGAGGCCCACUAAGCCUCUUGGAGCAGAGAACAGAUACAAGGCCAUCACUCUUGGGCAUGCAAGGAAAGAAAGCUUGGAUACUGAUGCCCAUGGUCAAACUCUUCGAAGCAGGCCCACAAUUACAGGGUUAAAAAUGUUGAAAUUAAGAUGAAAUUGGAUUUAAAAUCUUUUGUAACAAAAGCUUCCAGUGCUGAAAUCAAAGUUGUAUACUCGGAAUUACAGCAAUCUAAAGCUUCCAUAUUCAAACACUUUUUAUGCCCUGAAGAAUAUAUGUCCUGUAGGCCAUAUAGGACCUCAGACAAUUCUUGUAAAACAUGCAAAGCAUGUCUAGAUUGCCCUUCAUGGUGAAAUCAUAAAGUUUACAUGCUGUUUUUUUACAAAUUUAGGAAAGUAAUUUUCAAAUAGAGCUGAAAAAUGAAGAUAGAAAUGAUACCUCGUUUUCAUUGCAUAGUUCUAUUUCCUUCACUGACAUGCUCUAAUUAAAUAAAUACAUAUUUAUAUUGAUAUAAAUAUAUACUUUUAAUUUAUAAAUGUAUACUAUAUAUUAUACACAAUAAAUUAUACACAUUGUAAAAUUUAUAAUUUUACACUUAUAUGUGGUAAGGUAUAUCAUACACAGUAUUUGCUGCACUACAUAGUUCAUGCUGCAUACUGUAUGUAACUGUGCUACAUACAAUACAAUUUGAUGUAUUCUGUGCUAGUAAAUAAGUUUGUAUUUAUAUUAUACUUCAUAUAUUAACAUCUAUAUAGAAAUAGCAGAUUAUAUUAUCAUAUGUUAACCAUUACAGUCAUAUACAUCAUCUGUACACACCUAUGUCCCUCAUGCAGCUUCUUUCAGUACCUCUUUUCAGAAACCCCCUGUAGGAAAGGUGAUGUUAAUUGACUUACUGUUGCUGUGUGCUUCAUUGCAUUUGGUGUUUCCUAGUCUGAGGCAGAGUCAGAACAUACACAGCUGCAGGUAUAACAGUGUGGGAUUCUGGUUUACAGUCGGCACAAGUUCAGAUACAGGGUGUUAAGUGCCUGAAAUCUGCUUAAAGCCACAAAAAUUACCAUGAACCCUCAGACUAGAAAAUGAUGUAUGAAUUAAUUUUUAUUUACACUUUGAUUGCAGUGAUAUCAUGUUUUUAAGUGCAUACACUCCUCUGUGAAUUUCUGUAGAGUGGACGGGUUGAAGUAAUUUGGUUCUCAUUUGCAGAUUGAAAAAAUCCUGUUUUCAUUCUACAUCUUUCCAGUCUUAGUGCACCUUUGCGGUAAGAAGCCCAUUAUUCAAAUUAAAAAUGUUUGAGUGAUAGCAAUUAAUAAUUUCUGAGUGAAUUUUUAGAAACUACAAAAGGUUUCAGAGCUCUGUGUGCCUGCAUGUGGGUCUGUGUGUGGGAGUGUGGGCAUUCUGUAUUUUUCAGUGAACUAAUUGUUAGAAGAAAUUAAAUCAACUUAUCUAUCAUAUGUGUAUGAGAAGAGCCACCUCUCUGGUUGUUAAUUUUGUGUCCAAUUGAUAGAUAGAUUGUUUGUGAGGCCGCAUGUUAAACACUAUCCUGUUUCAGUUGUAACAGCUUGAGGGUUUUUAUGUGAUAUUAACAUAAAAGGUCUUUAAGUAUUAUUUUUUCCACUAGAGAAAAAGAAAAUGCUACAAAUGUUGAAUACCUGAUGGUACUUUCUGUAAGUCUCUCCACUGUUUGGGUAAGUCCCUUACUAGAAUAUUCCCUUUUUCCCACAUACCACUUGUCCCACAGUUUUAGCUGAAUCCAGAAUUUUACAGGUCCUCUCCUAAGCUUAGAAAUUCUCUGCUACAUUGCAGGUUGUGUUCUUUUGUCACGGAGUCUGAAUCUAAAGAGUGAAUGUUUCUGAUCAUGUGUCAUUCUGGCCUGCAUUCUGAUUAUGUUCUAUUUUUUCUGCACUGAUUUUGGUUCCAUAAAUACACAACUCAAACUGCUCUCAUGUCCAUAAGCAGGCUGGUAUGGCUUAUAUUCUUCUCAUCUCCAAGUGGUACACAGGAUAAUAUCAUAAAUAUUAUAUUGGCAAAUCAUCUAGACCACCUUCUGUAAGCUUUAUAUCAACAGCUAACAAUUGGUCAUAGGAUAAAAUGUAAUCCUAGUCCUGUUAGUGAAAGAGGUACAUGUACUUCAAGUUUUGUGAUAAAAUUCAUACAAAUAUAAUUAGAAUGUAGAAUUCUGUGAUAAUAUAUAGCCAAAGCAUGUCUUUUCAUUGAGGUGGGCUUUCUUUGUAACCAUCAACCAUGUCUAUUCUAGGCCAAAUAAAAUUGUUUUCUUUUGCAGCUCACGGUGACACAAAACACAGCACAUUGUAACUACAAGAACAGACUCCACUGUGAAAGAUCUCUAUCAGGCAUCACAGAGAAUUUGAGGCAGCUGGCAGUUAUCAGCUGAAGCAGUUAGUAAGUAGAACUGUACAAGAUAAAUAGAUAAUUGAAAAGCAAUCUGGAAACCUGGGAGAGAUAAGCCUCUUUUUUAGAAAGAAGGUAACGACUCAGGUAGGUCACUGAGGAACUCAUCUCCCAGAUCAACUCUUUGUCUAAUAACACUGAAAAUACGGUGGCAGUUCAGGCCCAUCAGCUCUGAAGUAAAAUUCAAAUUGUCAUUGGAAAGGCAGUUUGGCAUAUUCAGUUAUUCAAAUCAUAAUUGCAAUACAGGGAGGAGGAUUGUAUUGCUGAAAGACAGGUGAUCAAAGUUCCAGGAACAACAUAGCCCUUUGUUAAAAUACAGUUGCCAAAAUAGAAAACUACUAACUACUAACUGUUGUUACACAACAUUUUUACCCUCCAUGCUACUUUGUUUAUACUGCCAUGCAACAAGUAGUAUUCCUGCAGGGCUGACCGCAGUUGUCUGUGGGGUAAGUGAUUUCUUCUUUUGUGCAAUUUAUAUUUAUAUUAAAAUAAUGUAACUAUUUUUAUUUACCAUGAGGGCAAAGAAGUGAAGGAAAAAGCCAAUGCCCAUGAGUAAAAGACUGUGUUGAUCUUAGUAUCUGCAGUUUAAAAGAGUCCUAAGGAGUCCUUCUGUUCAAGUCACUCCUAUGAUUGUCAAAUUUCUGACUACAGAAAGUGGGAAAUCUUGCAUGAACAUGCAAGAUAACUGAUAUCCUUUGGUAACUCUUCUUGCUAGGUUCUGAUCUCUUGUAGAACUACAUUGGUUGUAUAUCAAUAUGAGAGAGCAUGGGAUAUUUUUGUGAGAGUGGGCACAGAAAAUAAGCUUUUGGCCUUUUUCAAAAAAUAAACUGGCAUCUUUCCACCAGAGAAGUGGUGGAAAUUGAUCCACUGACAUCUGUCUAUUUUGUUAAACCAGUCAGGUGGAUCACAGGAAAUAACUGAUGCCAGUGUAAUAUUAAUUCUCGUGGAGCUGAUCAAAACAAACAAACAAAAACCAAACCCAAACAACAAAACAAAACAAAAAAAAGGAAGACUUUUGCUGUUCAAUUUACUUUGAAAGACACUUUUAAAAAUCUGUCUCCAAAAAUUCUGUCUAAAAAGUUCUGUGCAUUUAUGCUGAAAGUACAUAGAGCAAAACACAUGCAUCAAUUUUUUUUGGCUGUAUUAGUUGCUACAAUUACAGUGGCAGUUAAUGUAUUAGUUUCUACAGCACAGUAGCUAGGAGAGAAACAUAUUAAUUUCACAAAAUCCAUUAACAAGAAUUUGCAUGUGUCCAUGUUGCUGGUUGCAGAAAUAAUAUGAUUCAUUUGAACAGUCUCCGUAAAUCUUAAAAAGUAAUUGCCAUUUUUAUUUUUUAAGUAUUGUUCUAAUAUCUGUUUUACUGUGGUACUGGACAUGAAAUAGUUGUAUGCAUAUGUAAAUUCUGCUUCUGUGUAUUGACUCUUGAGGAUGUUUUCCCUCCAUAUCUCAUUCUGUGAUUGCUUAAACAAAAAAUGGCAAAGUUUUAAAGCUUACAAAAGCAUGGGAAGUUUUAAAUUACCAUUUGCUGUUUUGAGGCCUGAUUCAUCUUUCCUAGAUUAUAAUCCUAGUGGUAGACUUUGGUCAGUCUAGAGCCAUUUUUCAUAUCAGUUUCUCAGUUUAGAUGCAACUGUACAAUUGAAAAAUUACCAUUGUGUUGUAAGAUAUGCCUAUCUUCAUUAGAUUACAAAACUUCUUAGGUAGCAGGAGAAUUUUCUGACUUAUGUAUUUUAUUUUCUUUUAAAAGAAGAUGAAAUGAAAUAGCAAAAAAAAUUGCUUUUUAUAUAAAAUUCCAGAAUCUGCCUAAAUAAUUACUGUAUAAGAAUCAAAUAUAUCAAUAAUUAUAAUAUAAAAAGAUGCUGACAAUAUGCUAUUGUAAACAGAGCAAAUAGAACAUGUCAUGUGACUAUAUAGAACAGAAACCUUCAUCCCCUGGGAUUGAGAACACUCACUUAAUAUUUGAGCACAGCCAGAUAAUGAAGGAUAUCUCCCUUCACGCACAAUUAGUGAACUUGACCACAGAGUUUCCCAAACCUUCCUCUGGUCAGACCUCCUACAGUAGUACCUAAAUCUCAGAGAGUUAUACAGCAUGAGCCUGAUCUGAACUAUUUAUUCUUCACUUUUCUUGUUGAAUCUGGAUCACAACACAGAAAAACACUGAAAUACUCAAAGGAUUCAUAAGAGAGAAAAAAGUAAAAUAGAUAGAGAAAAUAGAAUAAUAUGCAGAGCCAGAAGUAGGAAAGUAUCACUCAGAGGGAAACAUAAUCCAUCUAUAUGGAAAGGCUCAGGUGUUAACUAUAUAUGUAAACUCUUGUUCUAGGCAACAGAGUAAAUGCAGUCUGUGGACCCUUCUCAGUGCCUUGUCUGCUGAUGAAAUGCUUUGCAUAUGUUUCAGAGGGAACCAAGUUGCUCUCCAAGCUCCAUCUGAACACAGACAAAAAUUAUGGCAUCAUGUGAAAUGAUGUCAUAUCAGUUUCUGUCUUGCAGUUCUCUACAGGAUGAAAUUCCCAGAAACUGGAAAAAUGCAUUUACAAAUAUAUUUUAAUCAGUAAGUUCCUGACAAAAAUAGUGAAAAGAACUUUCUUGAGUUUCUCCCAAAGACGAAUCAAGAUUCCGUAGAAUUGCUGGAUCUUCGCUUGUCAUUUGCUGUGAUUUGUGCACAUCAUACAAAAAAUAGCAACCAAAGCUCUUGGCCAGGUAAAGUAAUCUUGGAUAUCUUCGUGUGCCUUUGUUCUGAAAAUGUGUACCAAUGUAUAUCUUGGAUCUCAGGCUUAUUAAUGCAUUUAAGGAUUAUUUGAGUUGGUAACCUGAAAUAAUCUGACACUGCAUUUAUUGAUGCAGAAGGUUAUUCUGAAUUUUGUGUCCAAAUGUCCUACUUACUUACUUACUUUACAGUCCCAUGUGAAUAAAAUACUUUGCUUUAAACAUA